UACGUAGGGGGCUAGCGUUAUCCGGAAUUACUGGGCGUAAAGGGUGCGUAGGUGGUUUUUCAAGUCAGGAGUGAAAGGCUACGGCUCAACCGUAGUAAGCUCUUGAAACUGUAAAACUUGAGUGCAGGAGAGGAGAGUGGAAUUCCUAGUGUAGCGGUGAAAUGCGUAGAUAUUAGGAGGAACACCGGUGGCGAAAGCGGCGCGCUGGAUCCCUUCUGACGCUGAGGCACGAAAGCCAGGGGAGCAAACGGG
Molecule: ribosomal RNA, 252 nt
Filed under: uncultured bacterium
Lineage: Bacteria
Description: partial 16S ribosomal RNA
Rfam family: Bacterial small subunit ribosomal RNA
Source: RNAcentral